Long non-coding RNA from Gasterosteus aculeatus aculeatus (three-spined stickleback), 2944 nucleotides. NCBI's taxonomy places the organism in Eukaryota, Metazoa, Chordata, Actinopteri, Perciformes, Gasterosteidae. The record is from Ensembl.
CGGAACAUGCCACCUGCCACUUUUCGACCACACCUCUACUGCACAAAGUCCCCAAUCAAAUAUAUUUUCCCCCCCAAUUUUUUUUUAGCUAACUGUUAAAACCGGUGUGUAUGUUCGAGUGUUUUAUUUCUGAAAUAUUUUAUUUUUAUUUGACAUAGCUCAUGUUAAAAUUAGUGCAACGUGACGGUCGAGAAACGUGAUCUGCGGCUGCUGAUGGAAGUAACGUUGAAUUGGGUCGCGAGGCCGAGUACACCAGAUAAGAGUUACUUUAAACUCCCAUAAACGCCUCAGAGCUACAUUAAACGAGGCGGUGUCUCCGUGGUUGUUGAUGUGACGUCGUUAGGUGACGUUACAGACAUAAUACGGUUAGUCUUUCUAGCCAAACAGCCGAGGAAGGUGCUAACACGACGGCUAGCGAGGUGACUUGUGCUAAUGAAGCUAACGAGCGGCGCUACGUCAAUAUGGCAGCCGGGAUGUUUGGCUAUGGAGGAAUGGCCCCAGCGUUCGACUGGCUCCCUCGGGCAGACUGAACUUCGAGUCCCUGCUCGAAUCAUCCCGAGCAAGCACAGCUUCAGCAUUCAGUCCACCGCCGGUCCACCAGUGCUCCGGACUGAAUCUUCUCAAAUGACCAUGGACCAUCUCCAGUCAUAGCCAAACGGCUGAAAACUAUUCUAUUGAUCAUCCCACGCUGCGAAAGCCUUAAUCGCCUAAAGUGAUUUGCUCUCCAGGGUCACAUGACGCAGUGCAGCAGUUGACGUGGGACCAGUACCUGUUGAUGCUGUUAGUGAGAUCUCACACUUGACGUCCCAGAAUUCUGAAGUCCUUUUAAAGCCAUGAGAUAAAACCACUUACGGCCCAACGAGUGCCGUGUGAUUUCCUCUGAAUCCCAAGUGCUUGUGAAUGGGACUCAAAUCCCCCGUUGGAAUGUUGGACCCUAUAUACAUUCAGACCUGUGGCUACUGAACAUAGAGGCCUAAACACACUCAAUGGCUAUUGCUACUGAACAAAUGGGUUUUGAUUAUAUUCCAACGGUUCAUGAGAGAAAAACUGUUGUUUUUCAGUGCUGCUUUCUGUACUUUGUGCUCUAAAACAAACGCAACCUUCUACCUGUUUGUUCAAAGAGACCCCUGGUGUUAGACCUCCAAUAACGAUGUACUUUAACCUCAACUCUGAUAUAAAUGCACAAACAAUCCGGCGAAGUCCUGAUACAAAAAGCAAAUGGGUUUCCUUCUCUGUCGAUAGGACGCAUCUCUAUUUAUUCCUCAUCCAGACUCCCUGAUGCAUUUCAGCAAGCUGUCGGAGGCUCACUGCUGAGAGACCGAGCUCAUUUUUUAUAUAUAUAUUACACAAACAGGCAGACCAGCGCUCUGUUGUUUCCAGAAGGAGGAGUGGGGGGGGGGGUGUCCUCUCAGGGAGCACAAAAGGAACCUUUGUUUCUCCUCUAGACAAGAGACGUGGCUGCGCCAACACUUGAAACGCUCCCUGUGUGGACUGCACACCCAACAGAACCCUAAUAAAGCUCCCGGGGUGUUGCAUUGCAUUCAAUCCGCAUUCCACGAGCGUGCGCUUCAGACACACUCGUCCGUGCCCAGAUGACUUGUCUUAGGGAAGACCGACGCUAUGUGCAUGUAGCGCACCUGCUGCAGUAAAUGAUACAUCUUCAGUUCCUGCAGGAGAAGCGUGAUGAUGGUUUUUCGUGGUCUCAGUGAAGGGACAGUUUACGUGAUGGAUCUGAACGCUCCGUCAUGAAUAGAGCCGUGUCAUCACAUCGGCUAAUACAGUGACGACUUGAGUGUGUAAUUGAGAUGUAUUCAUGAGGACUGUGUAAGUGUGCGAUACACAUGAAUCAAGUCACAAAUAGAGCACAAUCUCACACACGCAGACACACACACACACACACACACAGAUCUCUAAUCACCGCCGAGUGACCAGCAGGGCAUCAAAUUUGAGUUAUGUCACACAGAGAGGCUUUCCAAUGAGGACGGAUGUGAUUGCACUUUGGAUCAGAUGGAAAUGUGUAACAUCAGCCAGAUCAGAUCGCAGUACUUGUUUUUACCGGCAAUUUAUUUCUUUAGAAAUUGUUUCAGCGCAAAUAUCAGUAUUUUUCUUGAAAUGUAAUGGUAAUAAUUGGGAAAAUAAUUCAAAGCUACGGUAAUUUGUCAGCUAGGGUGGCAACACCGUGAUUAAAACAUGGUGGGCAGUUCACCAAUGUCUAAAGCUGCUGAAUCAGCAAGUGGAAUUCAGUUUCACAGCACAAUCUAUCUUCCUUCUGCCAUUGAAAGCGAGUUGUCUUCUCAGGCCAGGAAAACAUUUGCAUCUAAGGUUUUAUUUUAUAACUCAUCAAUUCAGCUUUUCAUUUGUAUGAGGAAGAUUGUGUCAUUUCCCCUUUCAGAAGAUAAAUAGUCACGCUUUAAUGGCACCAAACAAAACGGCAACCUUGACUCGCUUCAGUCAGGAAGGAGCACGUGCACUCCAACAUUUUACCUGCAUACGGAUUACAUGCACUUUCUUUUUUUUCCUUUUUCUUUUUUCUAUCUGCCGUCACAGGCUGUCUAUUCCAGCGUUUAAGUAAGAAUGUUUUGCUGUAACUUUUAUGACUCACUGCUGUUGGCCCUUUUUUAAAGUCCAAAUGAACCAGGAGAGGAAGUCUAGUAAGGUGACGGUUCCUCAGAGUGUUAACGGCGCCCAAACAAGUUCCCAGAAAGGAUUGGCUAAGUAGUUUCAUAAAAGCAUCACAGUUGCUACAGGGCGUUAAGGAGCAAACCGUGUAUCCUUAAUGUUAAAUUCAUUAAAAAGUAAAGUGAAGAAAGGCAGCAAGCGCCAAGAAUAAAUGGAGUUACCCAAAACAAGUGACCGUAACAACCAGUUCUAAUCAAGGUGUAACGAGACACUACACAUAUGUUUAAAAUUUCUUGUGAGUCACGCUUGAAUGACACUUAUAAAC